Long non-coding RNA from Ictalurus punctatus (channel catfish), 657 nucleotides. The record is from Ensembl. Lineage: Eukaryota; Metazoa; Chordata; Actinopteri; Siluriformes; Ictaluridae.
UAAACAGCACGUGAACAGGCAGCAGCAGAGCGCGUGGCAGUGCAUUGUUAUUGUUAUUAUUAUUAUUAUUAUUAUUAUUAUUAUUAUUAUUAUUAUUACACACUGCGGUGAGGGAAGAACAGUCAGUGGAUUUGGGAGAUGAAGAUUUAUGGAGUAUUUCUUCAGUUUUAACUCUCUGGACAUUUUCUUGGUUAAUUCGGCGACAUGAACUCCAGUGGAUUAUCAGACCAAGAGAUCACAGCUCUCUCUUCCGUGUAUGUCUCCUGUCUCAGUUUAAGUUUAAUUGGGAGCUGCUCUGUUUUCAUCACAUCAAUUAUGAAGAGAGAAAAGCUCAAAGAACAGGCGAAGCCUCUGAUCCAGCUGGCUCUAGCGGACCUCCUGGCCUCUCUCUGCCUCGGCAUCACAGCUGUGAUGAACCUGCUGUGGUCUGGAGCGGUGAGGAACAGUGAGGUGGUGUGCAGCGCAGGAUUAGCUCUGUCUCUGGUGAGGAAUCACAUCAUGUGAGAAUGAAAAACUGCAAUGAGGCUCAUAAAACAGUCAUAAACACACACACACACACACACACACACACACACACACACACACACCUCUCUAACAUGUUUAGUCAUGAUGAGGUUUCUGUUUAAUGCUGAAAUGUGAAUAUGAAGAGAAUAAUGC